RNAcentral lists this ribosomal RNA (460 nucleotides) under uncultured bacterium. RNAcentral's name for it is "partial 16S ribosomal RNA". It matches the Rfam family "Bacterial small subunit ribosomal RNA", at positions 338 to 795 of the family's 1533-position model. The record is from RNAcentral.
CCUACGGGAGGCAGCAGUGAGGAAUAUUGGUCAAUGGGCGUAAGCCUGAACCAGCCACGUCGCGUGAGGGAUGAAGGUUCUAUGAAUCGUAAACCUCUUUUGUAAGGGAGUAAAGUGCGGGACGUGUCCCGUUUUGUAUGUACCUUAUGAAUAAGGAUCGGCUAACUCCGUGCCAGCAGCCGCGGUAAUACGGAGGAUCCGAGCGUUAUCCGGAUUUAUUGGGUUUAAAGGGUGCGUAGGCGGCAUUUUAAGUCAGCGGUGAAAGCCUGGGGCUCAACCAGAGAAUUGCCGUUGAAACUGGGAGGCUUGAGUAUGUGUGAGGAAGGCGGAAUGCGUGGUGUAGCGGUGAAAUGCUUAGAUAUCACGCAGAACACCGAUUGCGAAGGCAGCUUGCCAAGCCAUGACUGACGCUGAUGCACGAAAGCGUGGGGAUCAAACAGGAUUAGAUACCCCUGUAGUC